UCAGAGGGUCGGGCGGCCGCGUCACGUGUCGAACGUGCCGAGGAAAGUCCGGGCUCCACGGAAACGACGGUGCCGGGUAACGCCCGGCGGGCUUCGCAGGCUUCGGCAUGCGGGGUUCAGGGACAGUGCCACAGAGAGCAGACGGCCUUUGGCUUCGGCCGGGUUACGGUGAAAGGGUGCGGUAAGAGCGCACCGCGCGGCCGGUAACGGCAGCGGCAUGGCAAACCCCACCGGGAGCAAGACCGAAUAGGGGCGGCAUGGAGUGCGCAAGUGCUUCGGGGCAUGUUCCGGCCCGCUGCCCGGGUUGGUUGCUGGAGACGGCGUGCAAGCGUCGUCCGAGAGGAAUGGUCGCCUAUCCCGCUUUCGGCGGGUGGACAGAACCCGGCUUACAGACCCUCUGACAUU
Molecule: RNase P RNA, 405 nt
Filed under: Sphingomonas sp.
Lineage: Bacteria; Pseudomonadati; Pseudomonadota; Alphaproteobacteria; Sphingomonadales; Sphingomonadaceae
Also listed under: 2 other names
Description: RNase P RNA component class A
Rfam family: Bacterial RNase P class A
About the family: Ribonuclease P (RNase P) is a ubiquitous endoribonuclease, found in archaea, bacteria and eukarya as well as chloroplasts and mitochondria. Its best characterised activity is the generation of mature 5'-ends of tRNAs by cleaving the 5'-leader elements of precursor-tRNAs.
Source: RNAcentral